RNAcentral lists this ribosomal RNA (492 nucleotides) under uncultured bacterium. RNAcentral describes it as "partial 16S ribosomal RNA". It matches the Rfam family "Bacterial small subunit ribosomal RNA", at positions 29 to 507 of the family's 1533-position model. The record is from RNAcentral.
AGUGAACGCUGGCGGUAGGCCUAACACAUGCAAGUCGAACGGCAGCACAGUAAGAGCUUGCUCUUACGGGUGGCGAGUGGCGGACGGGUGAGGAAUACAUCGGAAUCUACUUUUUCGUGGGGGAUAACGUAGGGAAACUUACGCUAAUACCGCAUACGACCUACGGGUGAAAGCAGGGGAUCUUCGGACCUUGCGCGAUUGAAUGAGCCGAUGUCGGAUUAGCUAGUUGGCGGGGUAAAGGCCCACCAAGGCGACGAUCCGUAGCUGGUCUGAGAGGAUGAUCAGCCACACUGGAACUGAGACACGGUCCAGACUCCUACGGGAGGCAGCAGUGGGGAAUAUUGGACAAUGGGCGCAAGCCUGAUCCAGCCAUACCGCGUGGGUGAAGAAGGCCUUCGGGUUGUAAAGCCCUUUUGUUGGGAAGGAAAAGCAGCAGGUUAAUACCCCGCUGUUCCGACGGUACCCAAAGAAUAAGCACCGGCUAACUUCGUG